CUGAUACAGAAUACACCCCUUCAUAUAUGUUCGAUAAUAGGGUUCGAAUGUCUCUACCAAAUCACCGGAAAUGAUUUGACUAUGAGGGUGGCCUAAUAAAGA
RNAcentral lists this non-coding RNA (102 nucleotides) under Jeotgalibacillus soli. RNAcentral describes it as "Guanine sequence". It matches the Rfam family "Purine riboswitch aptamer". Rfam says of the family: Riboswitches are metabolite binding domains within certain messenger RNAs that serve as precision sensors for their corresponding targets. Allosteric rearrangement of mRNA structure is mediated by ligand binding, and this results in modulation of gene expression. A class of riboswitches that selectively recognises guanine and becomes saturated at concentrations as low as 5 nM. Lineage: Bacteria; Bacillati; Bacillota; Bacilli; Caryophanales; Caryophanaceae. The record is from Rfam by way of RNAcentral.